Scophthalmus maximus (turbot) is the source of this 2889-nucleotide long non-coding RNA. RefSeq lists it as uncharacterized. The transcript has 3 exons. The record is from RefSeq and is a predicted model, not a curated record. NCBI's taxonomy places the organism in Eukaryota, Metazoa, Chordata, Actinopteri, Pleuronectiformes, Scophthalmidae.
GUGUGUGCGUGUGAUUGUGUGUGUGUGUGUGUGUGUGUGUGUGUGUGUGUGUGUGAUUGUGUGUUUGAAUAUGUUAGUUGAAAUUUGAUCAUCAGCAUUAAAAUUCACAUUGCUGGCAUUCACAUUGACAGGGGUGAUGAUGUGGUGGAAAUGGUGAGUUGACAGCAGACUGGUCCUUGACAUGAAGUCGACAGUGAUGAGUUUAAUAAACUGAGUCUAGUAAAUUGAACAUCGACAUGGAGACAGCCAACAUCAUAAAUAAACCAAAUUGAAAUCAUACUGCACUAACUUAAUAACUUUGGUCUGAUUUAUAGUAUCUUCCCUUCCCAUCAAUAAGUUCUGAUUAUUAGAACUAAUCUAAAGUAUAGAAGCAAAAGCAACUAAGUACUGUGUGACAAAAAGUGAAAACACUGGAACAGAGCUCUUAUCACAUCCUAUUCUCUUCCAGUGUUCUCAACACAUUAGUCGCUGACAUUGCUCACUGAUCUCCAUAAAACUGGCAGCCUUUUGAGGUCAACAACUCUGGUGUAUGUUUGUGUGUGUGGAAGCCAUCACACAUUUAUGUCUUUACUGUUCUCUAUAUGUGGGGUCAUCAAAAACUUCACGGUAAUCUCCCCAGAGACCUUUAUGUAUUUAGUGUCUGGGUGUGUGUGCGUGUGUGUGUGUGUGUGUGUGUGUGUGUGUGUGUGUGUGUGUGUGUGUGUUUGUGUGUGUGUGUGUGUGAGUGUGUGUGUGUGUGUGUGUGCGUGUGUGUGUUGAUGAAGGACCCCUGUCUGUGCUGGCCAAAGGAUUGUGUGGUUUUCUUUUUGACCUCCCUUGUACCCUUCCCUCAGGGGCAAGUGAUCCAAUCAGAGGAUAAGCCUAUUUCCAGACCCUCCCCCUGGGAGCGAGAAAGAUCCAAUCAGAUAAGGGUUCAUCUCAGAUCAGAAUCAACAGGGGAGGUGGAUGAGGGACCACACAGACACACAGCCAUUAAAAGUGAGAGCAAAGAAACAGACAAACACACAAAACAUAUAGACAUGUUGACACAAAUAGCGUAAAGAGAAGCCUUAAUGGAUUUUACUUGAGUAAUCCACUUUCCCUUCUCUCAACACGCUCAGCAUGUGGAGGCUGGGUGUUUGAGACUGCAGGGGAGCCCCUCUGUGAUAAUUCAGGGCAACUGCUUCUGCAAGUGGGAUAGCAAACCCAUUCAAAUGACAGAAAUAAGAAAACACUCAGCCUGAUGAAAACAAACAAAAAAUCAGAAUGCAGCCUUCUCGGCUGGAACAUACAAACAGAGGAGAGGCUGAAUGCUGCGGGGAUGAUACUUAUACCCAGACGUUGUAACGUUUAUUUGCCUUUUCUUUAAAAGUCUAUCCCAAAUUUCCCUUUGUCUUUUUAUGAUUAGCAUUUCCUCCUUUACCUAAACAUCUCCCAUUGUGUUCCUCUUGCAUCCAGCAGGUUGUACACACAGCGUGUGUGUGCAUGUGUGUGUGUGUGUGUGUGUGUGUGUGUGUGUGUGUGAGUGAGUGGGCCGUGGACCUGUCUGUGUCUUUGUGAGCCUCGUGGUGCAACUGUCGCCAAUAUCACUUUCAUCUGGGCGUGCUACUCUUCCCUCUAUCUAGCGCUUUGAAGAUGCACCAGAGACUUUAAUUCCUUUUUUCCCUCACAGUGUCAGCCAAAUUUGUACACAAGCGCACAAACACACCCAAACGUUCGGCGCCGAAAAGCUUCAAUUUUCAUCCAUCUUCUCCACCCCCCCAAAAGGAGCAGUUGUGAUCUAUGAAGCAUCUCCUUCUGUUUAAUUGUUUCGUUGGCCAGAGGAGGUGGUGAUUAUGCAUGCUACAACAUGCCUAAGUGAUUGUCUUUGUGCACAUCAAUAUUUGUGUGGGUGAAAAUAUGUGUGUGUGUGUGUGUGUGUGUGUGUGUGUGUGUGUGUGUGUGUGUGUGUGUGUGUGUGUGUGAGAAAGAGAGAGGGAGAGAGAGAGAAAGAGUUGUUGCUGUUGGGGGCUUUUACUUCUCUGUCCACACUGUGUCUGCUUCCUGUCAAACAACUGCACAUCCCCCAGAUGUUUUUGGAUCUACAGGCUCAUUUUAUAAGACUGUGGCUGCUCGCCAUUUAGUGUUAAUGUGUAAUUGCAUGCCUGUGUGUGUGUGUGUGUGUGUGUGUGUUUUACAUUGCUAAGGGCAACACAUGUCCUUUAUCACUGUCAAAAUGCCAAAUAAGUUAUCAACACCACCACGCCUGCUGCUGUGACAUCUAUGCCCACACGCACACGCACACACAAAACAAGUGAGCAGGCCGACACUAUUGCUCAGACCAGGGGCGUGCAGAGGAUCUUAGAGGGGCAGGGGCCCAAAUUCAUAUCGUAUCAGGCAAUUUUUGUUGUCACAAAGCAGUCAUUCUUUUUCACGGUGCUUGCUGCAACGGCGGGGAAUCAGGAGAUGGAGACAGUUGAGAGCAUCGCACAGGAGCAACAAUCUCCCGAAAUGAUGUUUGGAUUUUUUUAUUUUUCUUUAUAUUUAUUGGCAGCAGGGGCAGACUGUGUGCAAACAAGAAUUUAUUUAUUUAUUUGAAAAUGCAGCAAUGAUGGAGCAGCCAAAGCACAGGAUGACACCAGGACAUUCGGGAAACUAGAGCGGAGGAGAGUUUGUCUUUGUGUGAGUCUCAACAUCUAUCAUAUAACAUCGUCCUUGACAAACUCUGUUGUUAGUUUUACUCAUCUUUGGCUCUUCCUUUUCACAUAUAUUUAACAGUAAAAUGCAUUCAUGCAGCUACAUAUUUUAGUAUCCUUUCUAAGCACACACACACGCACGCAUAGAAGACACAAGCACACAGCCUGGAAACAUCUGUAAUGGAGGGGUCUUCACCUCUUCACUUACACACAUUCUCUCCUCUUUCUUGGCAAA